Molecule: non-coding RNA, 3181 nt
Organism: Cinara cedri
Lineage: Eukaryota; Metazoa; Arthropoda; Insecta; Hemiptera; Aphididae
Source: the annotation of a GenBank genome assembly
CAGACCUUGUACGUCCCCUUAUAAAUUUUAACCGUGAACAAACUUGAAACGGCGGCGUUUAUAACAUUUGUAUACAUAAUAAUAGCCAUACGUGGGUAUCGAAAUGUUUUCUGAAUUUCAAAAUUACAUUCGAUUAUAAUAUAUUUUUUAUUAUAGUAUUUUAAUUUUAUAAUGAAUUAAAUAAUUAUUAUUAUCGCGACAAUUAUUAUUACAGUCAGAUUGUAUGAAUAAAUUAUUGAUUAUUAAUAAAAUAAUGUGAUAAGGAUGAUAAAACAUUUUUUUUUUUUAAAUUGCACGUGUUGCCCUUGCACUUUAUUAAACGAAAAUAUACAACAAAUAAAAAAUUUCCUCUGAUAAUAAUUUUAUAAUUUCUGGACCACUAUAUAGUUGAACGCCCAGGGCUCUCAUCACAGUUUACCCACGAGUAGAGUACCAAAUAAAAUAAUGCCUUUAGUAACCCUCAUUAAUCAAUUCCAGGCAUCCAUUUUAACACUUCCAUUUCAUCUCCCUUUCGCCCCAAAACACUUGGUCCCUCAUUAAUAUCCCAAUAUUAUAAUAUCCGAAGUCACUAACACGAAUUUUUUUUCUAUUAAUUUUAUCUGUCCCACCAGGCAUAAACCGUGCCUAUUUAAUUCCCAGAAUUUUUAAUAAUCUUUUAAGAACAAAAAUCAAAUAACGAAAUUAAAUUUGCCGCAUUGAGUUGCCGGUCGAUGUAUUCGCUUAUAUUUUUGUCACACCAUUAAAUCCAGCAGUACUAUGGAAAUUUGUGACAUGUCAUAGAUUCAAAUAUGUAAUUUGAAAAUGCAAUAAAUCCCAAACUCUGAUCAUAUUAACUAUUCACAAAGCUUGAAAUAUUACGAUAUUAUGUUGUGUGUCGGUAGAAUUGACGGGGUUUUCGAAAAUCUGCAAUACAUACGUCCGGAAUGUGCGGACCGUAAUAAUAUAUUUGGUAUAUUACGGUGAGCAUUCGCCAAGAGCACGUCAUAAAAUUUGUGCGCACAUUCAACAGCCGUGAUUGGAUGACUGUUGUAGACAAUAAGUUGGGAAUGUACGAGGCCUGUUCAAAAAGUACCAGGACAAAUAUUAUUGCGGCUAAUAUAUACAUGAAAACGUUUGAAAUUAUAAUUAGUUGUAUUCCCAACGUAUUAGAGAAUAUUUUAAACAAAACCCUAAGUUGCUUUCAUAUCUCAGUUUAAUAAUAUACGUGGUUAAAUCUAUUCAGUUUGUUACGUUCUCCGUUUUCGUCAUGUCCGAAAUUAACGAACAACGUGUGUGCAUCAAAUUUUGCUUGAAACUUGGUAAAAAUGCAACUGAAACGUACACAAUGAUUAAAACUGCUUUUGGAGACGAUUCUUUAAGUCGCUCCGUUACUUUCGAGUGGUUUAAUUGUUUCAAGGAUGGUCGACAGUCAAUUAAAGAUGAACCACGUUCUGGAAGACCGCCGACAUCUAGAAACGAUGAUGUUGUGGCGAACAUUUACGAAAUGUGAAAUGUGCGAAAUGACUGCAGAUUAACUGUUCGCGAGUUAGCAAAUGAAGCAGGAAUUUCAAUUGGAUCUUGUCAUAAAAUUUNUUACAGAUGAGAAGGGUAGCUGCUAAAUUCGUUCCACGGUUGUUGACAUCGGAACAAAAGGAAAAUCGUUUGACGAUUUGUCAAGACCUUAAAAAUCGAUCUGCUAAUAUAAAUUUCAUGAUAAAACAUCAUCACAGGGGACAAACAAAACAUGGAUUUAUGGGUACGAUCCGGAAACAAAGUUACAGUCAUCUCAGUGGAAAACAAAAUUUUCCCCUCGAAUAAAAAAAACUCGGCAAGUGAGAUCGAAUGUCAAGACAAUGCUAAUUGUUUUUUUUGAUAUUUAAGGUAUUGUUUAUUAUGGAUUUGUGCCCCGUGGACAAACAGUCAAUUAGGUAUUCUAUAAAGAUGUAUUAAUACGUUUGCGAGUGAGAAUUCGCAAAAAACGCCCAGAAAAAUGGCGAAGUGAAACCUGGUUUUUUCGUCACGACAAUGCGCCAGCACAUUGAGGGUUGUCAAUUCGUGAAUUUUUUGCUGAAAAAGAAAUACUUGUGGUCCCACACCCUCCCUAUUCACCUGAUCUAGCCCCUUGCGAUUUUUUUCUUUUCCCGAGAAUAAAAUUGCGCUUAAAGGACAAUGAUUUCAAGACCUAGAGGAAAUUAAAGCAAAUACGGCAACAGAAUUCAAAGCUAUAACUUUAGAACAAUUUCAAAGGACUUUCGAAAAAUGGCAAGAUCGCUGGAACCACUGUAUAUUUUCUGGAGAAGAGUAUUUUGAAGGCAAUAUCUUUAAAUAAUAUGUAACUUCGUUUUUGUAAUUAUUAAAAAUAAAAUCCUGGUACUUUUUGAACAGACCUCGUAUAAAAAUAUAUCAUAGAGCCGUAUUCAGAUUACGUAACGACAAAUCAUAGCCAUAUAAAAAAAAAACAAUUCUGAGCGAAGAGAAUGGUAAACUGGUCAGGUUACAAAUCUUGGUCGUUGUUUUUUUCUUGUUAUACUCUACCUCCUUCACUACACGUGAAUAUCAGAUGGCACGAAAACAGUUCUGUAAACUAUUGGUUCAAUAAAAUUACAAUUAUGUAACAGAUAGCGUUUUAUAACGACAUUGCAAUAUUAUUUAUGAAUUUCUUGUACGUGAAUAUUGAUUAUUUUAUCAGUAUCGAAAUUAUUAAUUUUAUAAUAAUUUAACAAGUAUAAACAUAGAACAUUCAAUUACAAGUGGUGAUUUUACUGUGUUAAAUAAUUCCAAUAUGUUCGCAGAUUUUACGUACAAUUGUAUCGGGAAAUCUAUAAGUACUUAUCGACUGCGGGUGUAUCGGAUUUUAUUAAAAAUACUACGAGACUCCGAUAUUUUUCGAUUUUAAAAUUAGAUUUUCCGAAAAUCAACCAGCAGAGGGUUCGAUUAUCCCCCGGGAAUUCAUUAUUAUGUUUAAACCGAGUAUCGAUGGAGAACGGGACUCGCUUUUUUUUUUCCUUGCCUUUUUCGGAGCGACGGCCGAAAAUGUCAACGGAAACCGACGAACCACGCGGCGGACAUUAUUCUCGUUGGCCAUUUACGGAUUCCUCGCGGUCCGAUAAAUAAAUUAUACGAUACAUAAAACGGAGGAGACGGCGAGCGUUGUGCCGGCGGCGUCACACCACCACUGAGUCUCGCGAAAACACGCGCGCCG